CGGGUGAGUAACGCGUGAGGAACCUGCCUCAAAGAGGGGGACAACAGUUGGAAACGACUGCUAAUACCGCAUAAGCCCACAGCUCGGCAUCGAGCAGAGGGAAAAGGAGCAAUCCGCUUUGAGAUGGCCUCGCGUCCGAUUAGCUAGUUGGUGAGGUAACGGCCCACCAAGGCGACGAUCAAUAGCCGACCUGAGAGGGUGACCGGCCACAUUGGGACUGAGACACGGCCCAA
RNAcentral lists this ribosomal RNA (233 nucleotides) under uncultured bacterium. Its description in RNAcentral is "partial 16S ribosomal RNA". It matches the Rfam family "Bacterial small subunit ribosomal RNA", at positions 103 to 334 of the family's 1533-position model. The record is from RNAcentral.